GGUAAUGGCCUACCAAGGCGACGAUGGUUAGCUGGUCUGAGAGGAUGAUCAGCCACACUGGAACUGAGACACGGUCCAGACUCCUACGGGAGGCAGCAGUGAGGAAUAUUGCGCAAUGGGGGCAACCCUGACGCAGCAACGCCGCGUGAGUGAGGAAGGUUUUCGGACCGUAAAGCUCUGUCGAGCGGGAAGAAAUGCAUGGUGGCUAAUAUCCAUCAUGCUUGACGGUACCGCUAAAGGAAGCACCGGCUAACUCCGUGCCAGCAGCCGCGGUAAUACGGGGGGUGCGAGCGUUGUUCGGAAUUAUUGGGCGUAAAGAGCGUGUAGGCGGCCGAAUAAGUCAGAUGUGAAAUCCCUGGGCUUAACCCAGGACGUGCAUUUGAAACUAUUCGGCUAGAGUAGGGGAGAGGAAAGUGGAAUUCCUGGUGUAGAGGUGAAAUUCGUAGAUAUCAGGAGGAACACCGGUGGCGAAGGCGACUUUCUGGCCCUAUACUGACGCUGAGACGCGAGAGCGUGGGUAGCAAACAGGAUUAGAUACCCUGGUAGUCCACGCUGUAAACGAUGUUCACUAGGUGUUGGGGGUAUUGACCCUCUCAGUGCCGCAGCUAACGCA
This 613-nucleotide ribosomal RNA is filed under the name uncultured bacterium. RNAcentral describes it as "bacterial SSU rRNA". It matches the Rfam family "Bacterial small subunit ribosomal RNA", at positions 256 to 859 of the family's 1533-position model. The record is from RNAcentral.